Molecule: ribosomal RNA, 739 nt
Filed under: uncultured eukaryote
Lineage: Eukaryota
Description: bacterial SSU rRNA
Rfam family: Eukaryotic small subunit ribosomal RNA
Source: RNAcentral
CCAAGCUUCCCGCUGACCAGGGGCUUCACCUUGUCUGAGGAGCCUGGAUGCACUUCACUGUUGUGUCCUUGCGAGUCAGAACAGUUUACCUUGAAGAAAUUAGAGUGUUCAAAGCAGGCUCUCGAGCCUGGAUACAUUAGCAUGGGAUAAUAGAAUAGGACUUUUGGUUCUAUUUUGUUGGUUUUUGAGGACCAGAGUAAUGAUGAAUAGGAACAGUCGGGGGCAUUCAUAUUCAAUCGCUAGAGGUGAAAUUCUUAGAUUGAUUGACGAUGGACUAGUGCGAAAGCAUUUGCCAAGGAUGUUUCCAUUAAUCAAGAACGAAAGUUAGGGGAUCGAAGACAAUCAGAUACUGUCGUAGUCCUAACCAUAAACGAUGCCGACUAGGGAUCAGACAGGCUUCUAUCAUGCCCUGUUUGGCACCUCGUGAGAAAUCAAAGUGUUUGGGUUCCGGGGGGAGUAUGGUCGCAAGGCUGAAACUUAAAGGAAUUGACGGAAGGGCACCACCAGGAGUGGAGCCUGCGGCUUAAUUUGACUCAACACGGGGAAACUUACCAGGUCCAGACAUAGCGAGGAUUGACAGAUUGAGAGCUCUUUCUUGAUUCUAUGGGUGGUGGUGCAUGGCCGUUCUUAGUUGGUGGAGUGAUUUGUCUGGUUAAUUCCGAUAACGAACGAGACCUUAACCUGCUAACUAGCGGCUGUCAUGUUUGGCUCCAACCAAAGGCGUGCCGGGCGUGUUCCU